This 636-nucleotide ribosomal RNA is filed under the name uncultured bacterium. RNAcentral describes it as "bacterial SSU rRNA". It matches the Rfam family "Bacterial small subunit ribosomal RNA", at positions 38 to 682 of the family's 1533-position model. The record is from RNAcentral.
UCCUUUAUGCUUAACACAUGCAAGUCGAACGAGGGUCCAUCCGGGUCGUAAGACUGGUGAAGACCUAGUGGCGAACGGGUGCGUAACACGUGAGAAACCUACCCCAGUCUCUGGGAUAACAGUUGGAAACGACUGCUAAUACCGGAUGCCAUCUUCUGAUCGCAUGAUCGUUUGAUGAAAGAAUUUCGGAUUGGGAGGGUCUCGCGGCCUAUCAGCUUGUUGGUGAGGUAACGGCUCACCAAGGCAUCGACGGGUAGCUGGUCUGAGAGGAUGAUCAGCCACACUGGGACUGAGACACGGCCCAGACUCCUACGGGAGGCAGCAGUGGGGAAUCUUGCACAAUGGGCGAAAGCCUGAUGCAGCAACGCCGCGUGCGGGAUGAAGGCCUUAGGGUUGUAAACCGCUUUCAGCAGGGAAGAAAUUGACGGUACCUGCAGAAGAAGGUGCGGCCAACUACGUGCCAGCAGCCGCGGUAACACGUAGGCACCAAGCGUUGUCCGGAUUUAUUGGGCGUAAAGAGCUCGUAGGCGGUUCAGUAAGUCGGGUGUGAAAACUCUGGGCUCAACCCAGAGACGCCACCCGAUACUGCUGUGACUAGAGUACGGUAGGGGAGCGGGGAAUUCCUGGUGUAGCGGU